Molecule: ribosomal RNA, 631 nt
Filed under: Enterococcus faecium
Lineage: Bacteria; Bacillati; Bacillota; Bacilli; Lactobacillales; Enterococcaceae
Description: bacterial SSU rRNA
Rfam family: Bacterial small subunit ribosomal RNA
Source: RNAcentral
UAGACCGUAUAACAAUCGAAACCGCAUGGUUUUGAUUUUAAAGGCGCUUUCGGGUGUCGCUGAUGGAUGGACCCGAGGUGCAUUAGCUAUUUGGUGAUGUAACGGCUCACGAAGGCCACGAUGAAUAUCCGACCUGAAAGGGUGAUCGGCCACAUUGGGACUGAGACUGGGACCAAACUCCUACUGGAGGCGGCAGUAGGGAAUCUUCGGCAUUGGACGAAAAUCAGACCGAGCAGCGCCGCGUGAGUGAAAAAGGUUUUCGGAUCCUAAAACUCUGUUGUUAUAGAAAAACAAGGAUGACAUUAACUGUUCAUGCCUUGACGGUGUCUAACCUUAAAGCCACGGCUAACUACAUGCCAGCGGCCGCGGUAAUACGUAUGUGGCAGUCGUUGUCCGGAUUUAUUGGGCGUGAAGCGAGCGCAAGCGGUUUCUUAUGUCUGAUGUGAAAGCCACCGGCUCAACCGGAGAGGGUCAUUGGAAACUGAGACACUUGAAUGCAAAAGAGGAGAAUGAAAUUCCAUGUGUAUGUGUGAAAUGCGUAUAUAUAUGGAUGAACACCAGUGGCGAAGGCGGCUCUCUGGUCUGUAACUGACGCUGACGCUCAAAAGCGUGGGGAGCAAACGCGAUUAGA